Molecule: ribosomal RNA, 406 nt
Filed under: uncultured bacterium
Lineage: Bacteria
Description: partial 16S ribosomal RNA
Rfam family: Bacterial small subunit ribosomal RNA
Source: RNAcentral
AUUGAACGCUGGCGGCAGGCUUAACACAUGCAAGUCGAGCGAGCGGCGGACGGGUGAGUAAUGUCUGGGAAACUGCCUGAUGGAGGGGGAUAACUACUGGAAACGGUAGCUAAUACCGCAUACCAUCAGAUGUGCCCAGAUGGGAUUAGCUAGUAGGUGGGGUAAUGGCUCACCUAGGCGACGAUCCCUAGCUGGUCUGAGAGGAUGACCGGCAACACUGGAACUGAGACACGGUCCAGACGCGUAAGGGAGGCAGAAGUGGGGAAGAUUGCAAAAGGGGGGAAAGCCUGAGGGAGCCAUGCCGCGUGAGUGAAGAAGGCCUGCGGGUUGUAAAGCACUUUCAGCGGGGAGGCGGUACUCGAAGAAGAAGCACCGGCUAACUCCGUGCCAGCAGCCGCGGUAAUUC